CGGAGGUGGCGAGCGUUACUCGGAAUUAUUGGGUGUAAAGGGCAAGUAGGCGGUUUAUUAAGUGAGGGGUGAAAUCUUCCGACUCAAUCGGAAAACUGCCUUUCAAACUGAUAGACUUGAGUGUGGAAGAGGGAAAUGGAAUUCGCGGUGUAAGGGUGAAAUCUGUAGAUAUCGCGAAGAACACCAGCGGUGAAGACGGUUUCCUGGUCCAUAUCUGACGCUGAAUUGCGAAAGCUAGGGGAGCAAACAGAAUUAGAUACUCUGGUAGUCCUAGCCGUAAACGAUGAGCACUAGGUGUUGGGUCGUAAGACUCAGUGCCGCAGCUAACGCAUUAAGUGCUCCACCUGGGGACUACGGCCGCAAGGUUA
This 368-nucleotide ribosomal RNA is filed under the name uncultured organism. RNAcentral's name for it is "bacterial SSU rRNA". It matches the Rfam family "Bacterial small subunit ribosomal RNA", at positions 526 to 896 of the family's 1533-position model. The record is from RNAcentral.